Molecule: ribosomal RNA, 497 nt
Filed under: uncultured bacterium
Lineage: Bacteria
Description: partial 16S ribosomal RNA
Rfam family: Bacterial small subunit ribosomal RNA
Source: RNAcentral
GAUGAACGCUGGCGGCGUGCCUAAUACAUGCCAGUCGAGCGAACGGACGAGAAGCUUGCUUCUCUGAUGUUAGCGGCGGACGGGUGAGUAACACGUGGAUAACCUACCUAUAAGACUGGGAUAACUUCGGGAAACCGGAGCUAAUACCGGAUGAUAUUUUGAACCGCAUGGUUCAAAAGUGAAAGACGGUCUUGCUGUCACUUAUAGAUGGAUCCGCGCUGCAUUAGCUAGUUGGUAAGGUAACGGCUUACCAAGGCAACGAUGCAUAGCCGACCUGAGAGGGUGAUCGGCCACACUGGAACUGAGACGCGGUCCAGACUACUACGGGAGGCAGCAGUAGGGAAUCUUCCGCAAUGGGCGAAAGCCUGACGGAGCAACGCCGCGUGAGUGAUGAAGGUCUUCGGAGCGUAAAACUCUGUUAUUAGGGAAGAACAUAUGUGUAAGUAACUGUGCACAUCUUGACGGUACCUAAUCAGAAAGCCACGGCUAACUACGUG